RNAcentral lists this ribosomal RNA (522 nucleotides) under uncultured bacterium. RNAcentral describes it as "partial 16S ribosomal RNA". It matches the Rfam family "Bacterial small subunit ribosomal RNA", at positions 28 to 507 of the family's 1533-position model. The record is from RNAcentral.
GAUGAGCGCUGGCGGCGUGCCUAAUACAUGCAAGUCGAACGCUUUGUCUUUAAUUGAUAUGAAGAGCUUGCUCUGAUUUGAUUUUAUCUGACAAAGAGUGGCGAACGGGUGAGUAACACGUGGGUAACCUACCUCUUAGCAGGGGAUAACAUUUGGAAACAAGUGCUAAUACCGUAUAACACUAACAACCGCAUGGUUGUUAGUUGAAAGAUGGUUCUGCUAUCACUAAGAGAUGGACCCGCGGUGCAUUAGCUAGUUGGUAAGGUAAUGGCUUACCAAGGCGAUGAUGCGUAGCCGAGUUGAGAGACUGAUCGGCCACAAUGGGACUGAGACACGGCCCAUACUCCUACGGGAGGCAGCAGUAGGGAAUCUUCCACAAUGGGCGCAAGCCUGAUGGAGCAACACCGCGUGUGUGAUGAAGGGUUUCGGCUCGUAAAACACUGUUAUAAGAGAAGAACGACAUUGAGAGUAACUGUUCAGUGUGUGACGGUAUCUUAUCAGAAAGGAACGGCUAAAUACGUG